GAUGAACGCUGGCGGCGUGCCUAAUACAUGCAAGUCGAGCGAACAGACGAGGAGCUUGCUCCUCUGACGUUAGCGGCGGACGGGUGAGUAACACGUGGAUAACCUACCUAUAAGACUGGGAUAACUUCGGGAAACCGGAGCUAAUACCGGAUAAUAUAUUGAACCGCAUGGUUCAAUAGUGAAAGACUGUUUUGCUGUCACUUAUAGAUGGAUCCGCGCCGCAUUAGCUAGUUGGUAAGGUAACGGCUUACCAAGGCAACGAUGCGUAGCCGACCUGAGAGGGUGAUCGGCCACACUGGAACUGAGACACGGUCCAGACUCCUACGGGAGGCAGCAGUAGGGAAUCUUCCGCAAUGGGCGAAAGCCUGACGGAGCAACGCCGCGUGAGUGAUGAAGGUCUUCGGAUCGUAAAACUCUGUUAUUAGGGAAGAACAAAUGUGUAAGUAACUAUGCACGUCUUGACGGUACCUAAUCAGAAAGCCACGGCUAACUACGUG
Molecule: ribosomal RNA, 497 nt
Filed under: uncultured bacterium
Lineage: Bacteria
Description: partial 16S ribosomal RNA
Rfam family: Bacterial small subunit ribosomal RNA
Source: RNAcentral